This 132-nucleotide small nuclear RNA is filed under the name Fukomys damarensis (Damara mole-rat). Its description in RNAcentral is "U2 spliceosomal RNA". It matches the Rfam family "U2 spliceosomal RNA". From Rfam's summary of the family: U2 is a small nuclear RNA (snRNA) component of the spliceosome (involved in pre-mRNA splicing). Complementary binding between U2 snRNA (in an area lying towards the 5' end but 3' to hairpin I) and the branchpoint sequence (BPS) of the intron results the bulging out of an unpaired adenosine, on the BPS, which initiates a nucleophilic attack at the intronic 5' splice site, thus starting the first of two transesterification reactions that mediate splicing. The record is from Rfam by way of RNAcentral. Lineage: Eukaryota; Metazoa; Chordata; Mammalia; Rodentia; Bathyergidae.
AUAGCUUCUCAGCCUUUUGGCUAAGAUCAAGUGUAGUAUCUGUUCUUAGCAGUUUAAAAUUGAUUUACCUUUGCUAAAUGGUGUAAAGCAUUCUGGAUUGAAUUAAGAUUUCCAAGUGAGUUGUCAUCUUAU